GGAGCCCUGGGGUCAACCUCCCACCCGUGUUUAACGAACCUUGUUGCUUCGGCGAGCCCGCCUCACGGCCGCCGGGGGGCAUCUGCCCCCGGGCCCGCGCCCGCCGAAGCCACCUGUGAACUCGUCUGAAGUAUGUAGUCUGAGACAAUUAUUAAAUUAAUUAAAACUUUCAACAACGGAUCUCUUGGUUCCGGCAUCGAUGAAGAACGCAGCGAAAUGCGAUAACUAAUGUGAAUUGCAGAAUUCAGUGAAUCAUCGAGUCUUUGAACGCACAUUGCGCCCUCUGGUAUUCCGGAGGGCAUGCCUGUCCGAGCGUCAUUGCUGCCCUCCAGCCCGGCUGGUGUGUUGGGCCCCGUCCCCCUUCCCGGGGGGACGGGCCCGAAAGGCAGCGGCGGCACCGCGUCCGGUCCUCGAGCGUAUGGGGCUUUGUCACCCGCUCUUGUAGGCCCGGCCGGCGCCAGCCGACCCCCUCAAUCUAUUUUUCAGG
Molecule: small RNA, 487 nt
Filed under: Penicillium sp. 568 FbG
Lineage: Eukaryota; Fungi; Ascomycota; Eurotiomycetes; Eurotiales; Aspergillaceae
Description: eukaryotic LSU rRNA
Rfam family: 5.8S ribosomal RNA (bases 165-318)
Source: RNAcentral